Molecule: ribosomal RNA, 823 nt
Filed under: uncultured bacterium
Lineage: Bacteria
Description: bacterial SSU rRNA
Rfam family: Bacterial small subunit ribosomal RNA
Source: RNAcentral
UGGAAACUGUNUGACUUGAGUGCAGAAGGGGAGAGUGGAAUUCCAUGUGCAGCGGUGAAAUGCGUAGAUAUAUGGAGGAACACCAGUGGCGAAAGCGGCUCUCUGGUCUGUCACUGACGCUGAGGCUCGAAAGCGUGGGUAGCGAACAGGAUUAGAUACCCUGGUAGUCCACGCCGUAAACGAUGAGUGCUAGGUGUUAGGCCCUUUCCGGGGCUUAGUGCCGGAGCUAACGCAAUAAGCACUCCGCCUGGGGAGUACGACCGCAAGGUUGAAACUCAAAGGAAUUGACGGGGGCCCGCACAAGCGGUGGAGCAUGUGGUUUAAUUCGAAGCAACGCGAAGAACCUUACCAGGUCUUGACAUCCCGAUGCUAUUCUUAGAGAUAGGAAGUUACUUCGGUACAUCGGAGACAGGUGGUGCAUGGUUGUCGUCAGCUCGUGUCGUGAGAUGUUGGGUUAAGUCCCGCAACGAGCGCAACCCUUAUUGUUAGUUGCCAUCAUUAAGUUGGGCACUCUAGCGAGACUGCCGGUAAUNUACCGGAGGAAGGUGGGGAUGACGUCAAAUCAUCAUGCCCCUUAUGACCUGGGCUACACACGUGCUACAAUGGUCGGUACAACGAGUUGCGAGCCGGUGACGGCAAGCUAAUCUCUGAAAGCCGAUCUCAGUUCGGAUUGGAGGCUGCAACUCGCCUCCAUGAAGUCGGAAUCGCUAGUAAUCGCGGAUCAGCACGCCGCGGUGAAUACGUUCCCGGGCCUUGUACACACCGCCCGUCACACCACGAGAGUUUGUAACACCCGAAGUCGGUGAGGUAACCUUUUAGGGGC